RNAcentral lists this unclassified non-coding RNA (411 nucleotides) under soil metagenome. RNAcentral's name for it is "partial contains 5.8S ribosomal RNA, internal transcribed spacer 2, and large subunit ribosomal RNA". The stretch from base 1 to 122 matches the Rfam family "5.8S ribosomal RNA", at positions 35 to 154 of the family's 154-position model. The record is from RNAcentral.
GAUGAAGAACGCAGCGAAAUGCGAUACUUGGUGUGAAUUGCAGAAUCCCGUGAACCAUCGAGUCUUUGAACGCAAGUUGCGCCCGAAGCCGUCAGGCCGAGGGCACGCCUGCCUGGGCGUCACACGCCGUUGCCCCCCCGCGCCCCGCACCCAACUCUUUGGGAGCGACCGCGGGGCGGGCUGAUGAUGGCCUCCCGUGCGCUCCGCCGCGCGGUUGGCCCAAAUACCGAGUCCCCGGCGACGUGCGCCACGACGAGCGGUGGUUGAGAGACCUCUGUCGCAAGUCGUGCGCGCCCGUCGCGUCACGCGGGCUCGCAUAGCGCCUCGCGCCGCACCCGGUGCGGAGCUUUCAACGCGACCCCAGGUCAGGCGGGGUUACCCGCUGAAUUUAAGCAUAUCAAUAAGCGGAGG